Molecule: small nuclear RNA, 117 nt
Organism: Oncorhynchus keta (chum salmon)
Lineage: Eukaryota; Metazoa; Chordata; Actinopteri; Salmoniformes; Salmonidae
Product: U5 spliceosomal RNA
Exons: 1
Source: RefSeq, a predicted model, not a curated record
CGACUCUGGUUUCUCUUCAUUACGCACAAGCCUUUCGCCUUUUACUAAAGACUUCCGUGGAGAGGAAUACUUCCGAGUUCAAGGUAUUUUUGGAGGAGUUUUGCUUCUUGCAGAGCC